UACGGAGGGGGCUAGCGUUAUUCGGAAUUAUUGGGCGUAAAGGGCGCGUAGGCGGCCCGGUAAGUCAAAGGUGAAAUCCCUCGGCUCAACUGAGGAACUGCCUUUGAAACUGUCGGGCUUGAGGCCGGGAGGGGGUAGCGGAAUUCCCAGUGUAGCGGUGAAAUGCGUAGAUAUCAUGAGGAAUACCAGAGGCGAAGGCGGCUACCUGGACAAUUGCUGACGCUCAGGCACGAAAGCGUGGGGAGCAAAAGGG
This 253-nucleotide ribosomal RNA is filed under the name uncultured bacterium. RNAcentral's name for it is "partial 16S ribosomal RNA". It matches the Rfam family "Bacterial small subunit ribosomal RNA", at positions 524 to 776 of the family's 1533-position model. The record is from RNAcentral.